This 427-nucleotide ribosomal RNA is filed under the name uncultured bacterium. Its description in RNAcentral is "partial 16S ribosomal RNA". It matches the Rfam family "Bacterial small subunit ribosomal RNA", at positions 355 to 774 of the family's 1533-position model. The record is from RNAcentral.
UGGGGAAUAUUGCACAAUGGGCGCAAGCCUGAUGCAGCCAUGCCGCGUGUAUGAAGAAGGCCUUCGGGUUGUAAAGUACUUUCAGCGGGGAGGAAGGCGAUAAGGUUAAUAACCUUGUCGAUUGACGUUACCCGCAGAAGAAGCACCGGCUAACUCCGUGCCAGCAGCCGCGGUAAUACGGAGGGUGCAAGCGUUAAUCGGAAUUACUGGGCGUAAAGCGCACGCAGGCGGUCUGUCAAGUCGGAUGUGAAAUCCCCGGGCUCAACCUGGGAACUGCAUUCGAAACUGGCAGGCUAAAGUCUUGUAGAGGGGGGUAGAAUUCCAGGUGUAGCGGUGAAAUGCGUAGAGAUCUGGAGGAAUACCGGUGGCGAAGGCGGCCCCCUGGACAAAGACUGACGCUCAGGUGCGAAAGCGUGGGGAGCAAACA